CCUACGGGAGGCAGCAGUGGGGGAUAUUGCACAAUGGGGGGAACCCUGAUGCAGCGACGCCGCGUGGGUGAAGAAGCGCCUCGGCGCGUAAGGCCCUGUCAGCAGGGAAGAAAAUGACGGUACCUGAAGAAGAAGCCCCGGCUAACUACGUGCCAGCAGCCGCGGUAAUACGUAGGGGGCAAGCGUUAUCCGGAUUUACUGGGUGUAAAGGGAGCGUAGACGGCUGUGCAAGUCUGAGGUGAAAGCCCGUGGCUCAACCGCGGAACUGCUUUGGAAACUGUAUAGCUUGAGUACUGGAGAGGCAG
Molecule: ribosomal RNA, 305 nt
Filed under: uncultured bacterium
Lineage: Bacteria
Description: bacterial SSU rRNA
Rfam family: Bacterial small subunit ribosomal RNA
Source: RNAcentral